GGGUCAGUAGGUUGGUCGUGCCACCGGUACGUACUGGUCUCACUGAUUCCUCCUUCCUGAAGAACCGUAAUGCCAUUAAUUUGGUGUUGCGGGGAAACAGGACUGUUACUUUGAAAAAAUUAGAGUGUUUAAAGCAAGCUAACGCUUGAAUACAUUAGCAUGGAAUAACGAAAUAGGACGAUCGAUCCUAUUUUGUUGGUUUCCAGGAUUGACGUA
This 216-nucleotide ribosomal RNA is filed under the name Glomeromycotina sp. Its description in RNAcentral is "partial small subunit ribosomal RNA". The stretch from base 44 to 216 matches the Rfam family "Eukaryotic small subunit ribosomal RNA", at positions 690 to 864 of the family's 1831-position model. Lineage: Eukaryota; Fungi; Glomeromycota. The record is from RNAcentral.